RNAcentral lists this ribosomal RNA (860 nucleotides) under uncultured Chloroflexota bacterium. RNAcentral's name for it is "bacterial SSU rRNA". It matches the Rfam family "Bacterial small subunit ribosomal RNA", at positions 512 to 1385 of the family's 1533-position model. The record is from RNAcentral. Lineage: Bacteria; Bacillati; Chloroflexota.
CCGCCGCGGUAAGACGUAGGACACAAGCGUUAUCCGGAUUUACUGGGCGUAAAGCGUCUGCAGGCGGACAGGUAAGUUGGGCGUGAAAGCUCCGGGCCCAACCCGGAGAGGUCGUUCAAUACUGCGUGUCUAGAGGGUGUCAGAGGGGAGUGGAAUUUCCGGAGUAGCGGUAAAAUGCGCAGAGAUCGGAAAGAACACCAAUGGCGAAGGCAGCUCCCUGGGGCAACCCUGACGCUAAGAGACGAAAGCUAGGGGAGCGAACAGGAUUAGAGACCCUGGUAGUCCUAGCCCUAAACGAUGGAUGCUGGAUGUGGGGCCAUAGCGCUCCGUGUCGAAGCGAACGCGUUAAGCAUCCCGCCUGGGGACUACGGCCGCAAGGUUAAAACUCAAACGAAUUGACGGGACCCCGCACAAGCAGCGGAGCGUGUGGUUUAAUUCGAUGCUACACGAAGAACCUUACCUGGGUUUGACAUCUAGGUGGUAGUGAAGCGAAAGCGGAGCGACCCUUCGGGGAGCCUAGACAGGUGCUGCAUGGCUGUCGUCAGCUCGUGCCGUGAGGUGUCGGGUUAAGUCCCGUAACGAGCGCAACCCUUGCCCUCCGUUAUACGUGUCAGAGGGGACUGCCGGCGGUAAGCCGGAGGAAGGUGGGGAUGACGUCAAGUCAGCAUGGCCUUUAUAUCCAGGGCUACACACACGCUACAAUGGCCAGUACAAAGGGCAGCGAAGCCGCGAGGUGGAGCGAAUCCCAGCAAAGCUGGUCGUAGUUCGGAUUGCAGGCUGCAACCCGCCUGCAUGAAGCUGGAGUUGCUAGUAACCGCGCGUCAGCCAUAGUGCGGUGAAUACGUUCCCCGGGGUUUGCA